UGGUAUAUGACCUCCUAGGACAUUCGGCUGGUAAGGGAAGAACGCCUCCAGUCAGCAUGUGUACAACUCCAGUAAACACACUGAGCAGGCUCCCCUUCCAAGUGCUAGCAGGGCACUGUGCAUGCGGACAGCCCACCCCAAGGGAAGAAUCAGGGGAGAAGGAACACAAGACCGUGGGAGUAUGCCAAGUCAAACCCUAAGUCAAAAGGUCAAACCACACACAUGAUCUCUCAAGUCACCAGUUUGGCCCUCUUCUAAAUGUACUUUACUUUCUUUGCAUUCCUGCUCUAAAGCUUUUUAAUAAAGUUUCACUCCUGCUCUAAAACUUGCCUCGGUCUCUCCUUCUCCCUUAUGCCUUUCAGUCAAAUUGUUUCUUCCUAGGAGGCAAGGCCUACUGCAGACCUGUACAGUAAGAAAGACCUACUGCAGACCUGCAUGGAUUUGCCACCAGUAAUAGUGUGGCAUGGUGUGGCGUGCCCCUUCCUCUUGGGAACUAUGACUGAGUUUCAGAGAGGGAAGAGACUUGCCUAAGACAACACAACAAGUGAGUGACAGUCAAAUCUGACUCCAGGCCCUUUUUGCUCCAUUUAAUAGAUGGAAUGUAAGCUCAGCACAAGGAAAUGACUCGCCCAACUCUACACAGCUAGGACUGCAUCUCAGUCUUUUGACCUCAGUGCAGGGGUCUUUUCAUCACCUUCAGUCAGCAACUUCACCAGUACAGAAUUGCUUAGAGGAAUGAAUAUAAGGCAGAGGGUAAGAGAAAGCCUGACACGCUUUUUUUUUUGUACUAAAUGCUGAUGGUAUCUUAAGGAGAGCAUGUCAUGGGAAGUGCUGAAAAUGAUCAGAGACCUGGGUUGGCCAGGUCUCUGAAUCUUGUAGCAAAUAAAACCAGGCUUUGUGGUCAGACUUUGUAGCAACCAACAGCUGGUUCCCUGUGUCAUCCCAGCCCCGACUGCUAUUUCUUUCCUAGUAUUAAGUAGGCAUUUUUGUGAUAUAGGCUCACCCCAGCCUGCAGGCUUUGGGAAACCCAUCUGCUAUCCUUCCUAUUCAUCUAUUUCAACAUGAGCCUUCAAAAAUAAUAAACACAGUGUGGGUCACUGUGAAAAUGAAACUGAAGAAAAGCUGACAUCAAGAACUUACAUUAUAAAAGUGGAAUCACAUUUUAGGAACUUUCUUCAAGCCCGCUGAACAACCCCACUCUGCAAAAUUAUGUUGAUUUGCCAUUUGCCUAAUAAUGGGAAUGAUAAAGUGAAGACUGAGACAGCAUCUAUUUGUAAAAGUCAACAUUGAUUUUCUCCCCUUGUACAU
This is a non-coding RNA of Macaca mulatta (Rhesus monkey), 1308 nucleotides long. Lineage: Eukaryota; Metazoa; Chordata; Mammalia; Primates; Cercopithecidae. The record is from RefSeq and is a predicted model, not a curated record.